CAGCGACGCCGCGUGAGGGAUGACGGCCUUUCGGGUUGUAAACCUCUUUCAGUAGGGAAGAAGCGAAAGUGACGGUACCUGCAGAAGAAGCGCCGGCUAACUACGUGCCAGCAGCCGCGGUAAUACGUAGGGCGCAAGCGUUAUCCGGAAUUAUUGGGCGUAAAGAGCUCGUAGGCGGUUUGUCGCGUCUGCCGUGAAAGUCCGGGGCUCAACUCCGGAUCUGCGGUGGGUACGGGCAGACUAGAGUGAUGUAGGGGAGACUGGAAUUCCUGGUGUAGCGGUGAAAUGCGCAGAUAUCAGGAGGAACACCGAUGGCGAAGGCAGGUCUCUGGGCAUUAACUGACGCUGAGGAGCGAAAGCAUGGGGAGCGAACAGGAUUAGAUACCCUGGUAGUCCAUGCCGUAAACGUUGGGCACUAGGUGUGGGGGACAUUCCACGUUUUCCGCGCCGUAGCUAACGCAUUAAGUGCCCCGCCUGGGGAGUACGGCCGCAAGGCUAAAACUCAAAGGAAUUGACGGGGGCCCGCACAAGCGGCGGAGCAUGCGGAUUAAUUCGAUGCAACGCGAAGAACCUUACCAAGGCUUGACAUGAACCGGAAAUACCUGGAAACAGGUGCCCCGCUUGCGGUCGGUUUACAGGUGGUGCAUGGUUGUCGUCAGCUCGUGUCGUGAGAUGUUGGGUUAAGUCCCGCAACGAGCGCAACCCUCGUUCUAUGUUGCCAGCGCGUUAUGGCGGGGACUCAUAGGAGACUGCCGGGGUCAACUCGGAGGAAGGUGGGGACGACGUCAAAUCAUCAUGCCCCUUAUGUCUUGGGCUUCACGCAUGCUACAAUGGCCGGUACAAAGGGUUGCGAUACUGUGAGGUGGAGCUAAUCCCAAAAAGCCGGUCUCAGUUCGGAUUGGGGUCUGCAACUCGACCCCAUGAAGUCGGAGUCGCUAGUAAUCGC
RNAcentral lists this ribosomal RNA (946 nucleotides) under Pseudarthrobacter polychromogenes. RNAcentral's name for it is "bacterial SSU rRNA". It matches the Rfam family "Bacterial small subunit ribosomal RNA", at positions 389 to 1345 of the family's 1533-position model. Lineage: Bacteria; Bacillati; Actinomycetota; Actinomycetes; Micrococcales; Micrococcaceae. The record is from RNAcentral.